Molecule: long non-coding RNA, 4146 nt
Organism: Pecten maximus
Lineage: Eukaryota; Metazoa; Mollusca; Bivalvia; Pectinida; Pectinidae
Exons: 2
Source: RefSeq, a predicted model, not a curated record
AUAUGUGUAAUGGUGUAGGUGACUUCCCUCUGUGAAGUGUGUAUAUGUGUAAUGGUGUAGGUGACUUCCCUCUGUGAGGUGUGUAUAUGUGUGAUGUAUAAUGGUGUAGGUCACUUCCCUCUGUGAGGUGUGUAUAUGUAUAAUGGUGUAGGUCAUUUCCCUCUGUGAGGUGUGUAUAUGUGGGAUGUGUAAUGGUGUAGGUGACUUCCCUCUGUGAGGUGUGUAUAUGUGUAAUGGUGUAGGUGACUUCCCUCUGUGAGGUGUGUAUAUGUGGGAUGUGUAAUGGUGAAGGUGACUUCCCUCUGUGAGGUGUGUAUAUGUGUGAUGUGUAAUGGUGUAGGUGACUUCCCUCUGUGAGGUGUGUAUAUGUGUAAUGGUGUAGGUGACUUCCCUCUGUGGUGUGUAUAUGUGUGAUGUUUAAUGGUGUGGGUCACUUGUCUCUGUGAGGUGUGUAUAUAUGUGAUGUGUAAAGGCGUAGGUCACUUGUCUCCUGUAGUAUGUGAGGUAUAUUAUAGGGUAGGUUGCUUGUCUCUGUGUAGUAUGUGAGGUGUAUUAUAGUGUAGGUUGCUCGUCUCUGUGUGGUAUGUGAGUUGUAUAAUAGUGUAGGUUGUUGGUCUCUGUGUGGUAUGUGAGGUGUAUAAUAGUGUAGGUCACUUGUCUCCUGUAGUAUGUGAGGUGUAUUAUAGUGUAGGUUGCUCAUCUCUGUGUGGUAUGUGAGGUGUAUAAUAUGUAGGUUGCUCGUCUCUGUGUGGUAUGUGAGGUGUAUAAUAGUGAAGGUUGCUCGUCUCUGUGUGGUAUGUGAGGUGUAUUAUAGUGUAGGUUGCUCAUCUCUGUGUGGUAUGUGAGGUGUAUAAUAGUGUAGGUUGCUGGUCUCUGUGUGAUAUGUGAGGUGUAUAAUAGUGUAGCUGGUCUCUGUGUGGUAUGUGAGGUGUAUAAUAGUGUAGGUUGCUCGUCUCUGUGUGGUAUGUGAGUUGUAUAAUAGUGUAGGUUGCUCGUCUCUGUGUGGUAUGUGAGUUGUAUAAUAGUGAAGGUUGCUCGUCUCUGUGUGGUAUGCGAGGUGUAUAAUAGUGUAGGUUGCUGGUCUCUGUGUGGUAUGUGAGUUGUAUAAUAGUGAAGAUUGCUGGUCUCUGUGUGGUAUGUGAGGUGUAUUAUAGUAUAUGUCGCUCGUCUCUGUGUGGUAUGUGAGGAGUAUUAUAGUAUAUGUCGCUCGUCUCUGUGUGGUAUGUGAGGUGUAUAAUAGUGUAGGUUGCUCGUCUCUGUGUGGUAUGUGAGGUGUAUUAUAGGGUAGGUUGCUGGUCUCUGUGUGAUAUGUGAGGUGUAUAAUAGUGUAGGUUGCUCAUCUCUGUGUGAUAUGCGAGGUGUAUAAUAGUGUAGGUCGCUCGUCUCUGUGAUAUGCAAGGUGUAUUAUAGUGUAUGUCGCUCUUCUCUGUGUGGUAUGCGAGGUGUAUUAUAGGGUAGGUUGCUCGUCUCUGUGUGGUAUGUGAGUUGUAUAAUAGUGUAGGUUGCUCGUCUCUGUGUGAUAUGCAAGGUGUAUUAUAGUGUAUGUCGCUCAUCUCCGUGUGGUAUGUGAGUUGUAUAAUAGUGUAUGUCGCUCGUCUCUGUGUGAUAUGCAAGGUGUAUUAUAGUGUAUGUCGCUCAUCUCCGUGUGGUAUGUGAGUUGUAUAAUAGUGUAUGUCGCUCGUCUCUGUGUGAUAUGCAAGGUGUAUUAUAGUGUAUGUCGCUCAUCUCCGUGUUGUAUGUGAGUUGUAUAAUAGUGUAGGUUGCUCGUCUCUGUGUGAUAUGCGAGGUGUAUAAUAGUGUAGGUCACUCGUCUCUGUGUGGUAUGUGAGGUGUAUAAUAGUGUAGGCUGCUUAUCUCUGUGUGGUAUGUGAGUUGUAUAAUAGUGUAGGUUGCUCGUCUCUGUGUGAUAUGCAAGGUGUAUUAUAGUGUAUGUCGCUCAUCUCCGUGUGGUAUGUGAGUUGUAUAAUAGUGUAGGUUGCUCGUCUCUGUGUGAUAUGCGAGGUGUAUAAUAGUGAAGGUUGCUCGUCUCUGUGAGGUAUGUGAGGUGUAUAAUAGUGUAGGUCGCUUGUCUCCUGUAGUAUGAGGUGUAUAAUAGUGUAGGUCGCUUGUCUCCGUGUGGUAUGUGAGGUGUAUAAUAGUGUAGGUCGAUCGUCUCCUGUAGUAUGAGGUGUAUAAUAGUGUAGGUUGCUCGUCUCUGUGUGGUGUAUGUGAGGUGUAUAAUAGUGAAGGUUGCUCGUCUCUAUGUGGUAUGUGAGUUGUAAUAAUAGUGUAGGUUGCUGGUCUCUGUGUGGUAUGUGAGUUGUAUAAUAGUGUAGGUUGCACGUCUCUAUGUGGUAUGUGAGUUGUAUAAUAGUGUAGGUUGCUCGUCUCUGUGUGCUAUGUGAGUUGUAUAAUAGUGAAGGUUGCUGGUCUCUGUGUGGUAUGUGUGGUGUAUUAUAGUAUAUGUAGCUCGUCUCUGUGUGGUAUGUGAGGUGUAUAAUAGUGUAGGUUGCUCGUCUCUGUGUGGUAUGUGAGGUGUAUUAUAGUAAAGGUUGCUCGUCUCUGUGUGGUAUGUGAGGUGUAUAAUAGUGUAGGUUGCUCGUCUCUGUGUAGUAUGCGAGGUGUAUUAUAGUAAAGGUUGCUCGUCUCUGUGUGGUAUGUGAGGUGUAUAAUAGUGUAGGUUGCUGGUCUCUGUGUAGUAUGCGAGGUGUAUAAUAGUGUAGGUUGCUCGUCUCUGUGUGGUAUGUGAGUUGUAUAAUAGUGUAGGUUGCUGGUCUCUGUGUGAUAUGUGAGGUGUAUAAUAGUGUAGGUUGCUGGUCUCUGUGUGGUAUGUGAGGUGUAUAAUAGUGUAGCUGGUCUCUGUGUAGUAUGUGAGGUGUAUAAUAGUGUAGGUUGCUGGUCUCUGUGUGGUAUGUGAGUUGUAUAAUAGUGUAGGUUGCUGGUCUCUGUGUGGUAUGUGAGUUGUAUAAUAGUGUAGGUUGCUGGUCUCUGUGUGAUAUGUGAGGUGUAUAAUAGUGUAGGUUGCUGGUCUCUGUGUGGUAUGUGAGGUGUAUAAUAGUGUAGGUUGCUGGUCUCUGUGUGGUAUGUGAGGUGUAUAAUAGUGUAGGUUGCUGGUCUCUGUGUGGUAUGUGAGGUGUAUAAUAGUGUAAGUUGCUGGUCUCUGUGUGGUAUGUGAGUUGUAUAAUAGUGUAGGUUGCUGGUCUCUGUGUGGUAUAUGAGACUUAUUAUCGUGAGGGUGUGUCUUCUUAGGGGCCAGAGGGAUGAGGCCCAAUAGGUGAAAUAGAUGUAAAUCCUUUAAAUUGCUAAAAGUCCUGAACAACGUACCACAUGGAUUUUGAUGUAAUUUGGUCAGAAGCAUCAUUGGCAAAGGAAAACUAAUGUUGUAUUAAAUGAGGGUGUGAUUUCUUUGAGGGCUUGAGGGUGUGGCCCAAUAGAGGAAACUGAGGUAAAUCCUUUAGUAAUCCCUACAAGUCCUGAACACCUGAAUGGAUUGUCCUUAUUCAACUUUUUACUUUUCUAAGAUUUAUUUUCGCAUUAAAGUCUUUUCAUGAAGCAAUUCACCAAUACUACAUAUCAAGUCUUAUCAAUGAGACAAAGAGAUACAGGAGGGAAUGAAGAGAGAGAGAGACACACACAGAUUAUUAUGGUGGGUUAUAUGUUAAUUUGCUCCAUACAAAAUAUUAAAAAUAAGGAAAGGUAUUUGUUUGGAGAAAUUACAUUAUCAUUAUAAUGACAUGCUUCUGACAAGUAACACUGUUGCUUUGUUUCAUUAAAUUCAUUCAGGUAUGUACACAAUGAAAAAUUAUUUCAACAGUUCUUGCUUUCUAUUGAUAAUGACUUACCUUCAAUAUAAGGUGUUAAUUCAAAAUCACAGUGAAUAUGUUAAAAAUUAACAAAUAAUGUAAUUAUAAUAUUACAAAAGUAAUAAAAACAGUAUAAUAUUGCCCUGUUUUCUGACAUGCUCUCUGUAUAGUAAACAAUUACACUCUAUAGCAUAGACAAGGUGUGAAAUGUAUACCCUUUAGGUGAUAGUUCUGAUGUCAGUGUGAAUUGUAGAUCUAGUCCGAUAUGUAUGUUGUACUGUAAAUAUUAAGUAGUAAAUGAUAAUCAUGGAUAUGUAGAAGAUAUUUCACUUCUGGAGAGAAAACAUUAAAAUAUUGAGCCACA